GAGUUUGAUCAUGGCUCAGAACGAACACUGGCGGCGUGCCUAACACAUGCAAGUCGAACGCGAAAACCUGGGCAACCGGGUGAGUAGAGUGGCGCACGGGUGCGUAACACGUGGGUAACCUACCUUUGAGUGGGGAAUAACUCCUCGAAAGGGGAGCUAAUACCGCAUAAGACCACAGCUUCGGCAGGAGGUGCGGUCAAAGGUAGCCUCAGCGGUCAGAGCCUUGGGGAUGAUCUUCCCGCGGGGGAGAUGAUCUGCAGGGUUCUGCGAGUGAAGCUGCCGCUUGAAGAGGGGCCCGCGGCCCAUCAGCUGGUUGGUAGGGUAACGGCCUACCAAGGCGACGACGGGUAGCUGGUCUGAGAGGACGACCAGCCACACGGGAAUUGAGAGACGGUCCCGACUCCUACGGGAGGCAGCAGUGGGGAAUCUUGGGCAAUGGGGGCAACCCUGACCCAGCGACGCCGCGUGGGGGACGAAGGCCUUCGGGUUGUAAACCCCUGUUAGGUGGGACGAACAUCCUGCCGUGAAGAGCGGGAGGAUCUGACGGUACCACCAGAGAAAGCCCCGGCUAACUCCGUGCCAGCAGCCGCGGUAAUACGGAGGGGGCGAGUGUUGUUCGGAAUUACUGGGCGUAAAGGGCGCGUAGGCGGCCUGGCCAGUCGAGUGUGAAAGCCCUUGGCUUAACUGAGGAAUGGCGCUCGAAACUACCGGGCUUGAGGGCGGGAGAGGGAAGUGGAACUCUCGGUGUAGGGGUGAAAUCUGUAGAGAUCGAGAGGAACACCGGUGGCGAAAGCGGCUUCCUGGCCCGUCCCUGACGCUGAGCGCGAAAGCGUGGGGAGCGAACAGGAUUAGAUACCCUGGUAGUCCACGCCCUAAACGAUGGCACUAGUGUGGGGCGGUAUUAAUCCCGCCUGUGCCGUAGCUAACGCAUUAAGUGCCCCGCCUGGGG
RNAcentral lists this ribosomal RNA (949 nucleotides) under uncultured bacterium. Its description in RNAcentral is "bacterial SSU rRNA". It matches the Rfam family "Bacterial small subunit ribosomal RNA", at positions 9 to 873 of the family's 1533-position model. The record is from RNAcentral.